This 48-nucleotide non-coding RNA is filed under the name Schistosoma margrebowiei. The record is from RNAcentral. Lineage: Eukaryota; Metazoa; Platyhelminthes; Trematoda; Strigeidida; Schistosomatidae.
AUCCAGCUGACGAGUCCGAAAUGAGACGAAACAUGCGUCAAACUGGAU